Molecule: small nucleolar RNA, 82 nt
Organism: Gambusia affinis (western mosquitofish)
Lineage: Eukaryota; Metazoa; Chordata; Actinopteri; Cyprinodontiformes; Poeciliidae
Gene: SNORD24
Rfam family: Small nucleolar RNA SNORD24
About the family: U24 is a member of the C/D class of snoRNA which contain the C (UGAUGA) and D (CUGA) box motifs.
Source: Ensembl
UGCUGCAAUGAUGACAAAUAUUUGCUACUCUCGACAAGAUGGAUGACGAUACUCCAACCACCUAAAUUUAUAAUCUGAGGCA